UCUCCGUAGGUGAACCAGCGGAGGGAUCAUUACAGAGUUGCAACCCGCACGAACCAUUGUGAACGCUACCUAUCCCGUAGCUUCGUCGCUUUGCCCGGCCGCCGCGCCCCGCCCCCGCUACCCCCCCGGGGGCGCCCGCCGGAGGUAGACCAAACCCAUGAAUUGCAUUUCCUCUCUGAGUCUUCUGUACUGAAUAAUUCAAAACUUUAAACAACGGAUCUUUUGUUUCUGGCCUCGGUGAAGAACGCAACAGCUGGGAAGCACACACGUCUACACUCC
This 279-nucleotide unclassified non-coding RNA is filed under the name plant metagenome. Its description in RNAcentral is "partial contains small subunit ribosomal RNA, internal transcribed spacer 1, and 5.8S ribosomal RNA". The record is from RNAcentral.